GCCAACGGCCAUAUCUUGUUGAAUACCCCGGUUCUCGUCCGAUGACCGAAGUUAAGCAACAUCGGGCCCAGUUAGUACUUGGAUGGGUGACCGCCUGGGAACACCGGGUGCUGUUGACU
This 119-nucleotide ribosomal RNA is filed under the name Schistocerca americana (American grasshopper). The record is from RNAcentral. Lineage: Eukaryota; Metazoa; Arthropoda; Insecta; Orthoptera; Acrididae.